Molecule: ribosomal RNA, 322 nt
Filed under: uncultured Bacillota bacterium
Lineage: Bacteria; Bacillati; Bacillota
Description: bacterial SSU rRNA
Rfam family: Bacterial small subunit ribosomal RNA
Source: RNAcentral
GACGAACGCUGGCGGCGUGCCUAACACAUGCAAGUCGAGCGAUGAAGCCCUUCGGGGUGGAUUAGCGGCGGACGGGUGAGUAACACGUGGGUAACCUGCCUCAAAGUGGGGGAUAGCCUUCCGAAAGGGAGAUUAAUACCGCAUAACAUCAAAGCUUUGCAUAAAGCUUUGAUCAAAGGAGUAAUCCGCUAUGAGAUGGGCCCGCGGCGCAUUAGCUAGUUGGUGAGGUAAUGGCUCACCAAGGCGACGAUGGUUAGCUGGUCUGAGAGGAUGACCAGCCACACUGGAACUGAGACACGGUCCAGACUCCUACGGGAGGCAG